This 393-nucleotide long non-coding RNA is filed under the name Homo sapiens (human). RNAcentral's name for it is "HSALNT0366867". Lineage: Eukaryota; Metazoa; Chordata; Mammalia; Primates; Hominidae. The record is from RNAcentral.
UACCCUAGAACCUGGCUUAGGACAGUCACAAUGGGCCUCGGAACCUUCUUCCCCUCCAUCUCCUCUGCAUAUUGGCCUUUUGCUUAUUCCAGUUUUGCUCUCCAGCCCUUCCCUGAUUCCCAAGUCUGGUUCUUUAAGUUAACUGAGAAUGUGUUCUGUUACAAAUUCAGAAGUCUCUCCCCUAGUCCUUCUGGCCUGUUUGCCUGCUCUGCCUUUCCCCUUUUCUCUUCUGUUGGGACCUGGAGAUCUUCUGACAGAGCCCUGUGAGCUGAGCAGCUCCAGCAGUUGGAUCUCCAUGAAUUACCAAGGGAUGUAAAGACUUAGAAGAGAGUUACAAGAGGAAAUGUAAAACCAUCCAUUUUUACCAAAAUUAAAUGUGCAAAAGGCUACAUA